This 450-nucleotide ribosomal RNA is filed under the name uncultured bacterium. RNAcentral's name for it is "partial 16S ribosomal RNA". It matches the Rfam family "Bacterial small subunit ribosomal RNA", at positions 354 to 796 of the family's 1533-position model. The record is from RNAcentral.
GUGGGGAAUAUUGGACAAUGGGCGCAAGCCUGAUCCAGCAAUGCCGCGUGGGUGAAGAAGGCCUUCGGGUUGUAAAGCCCUUUUGUACGGAAAGAAAUCCUGGUGGUUAAUACCCGCCGGGGAUGACGGUUCCGUAAGAAUAAGCACCGGCUAACUUCGUGCCAGCAGCCGCGGUAAUACGAAGGGUGCAAGCGUUAAUUGGAAUUACUGGGCGUAAAGCGUGCGUAGGUGGUUUCUUAAGUCUGUCGUGAAAGCACUGGGCUCAACCUGGGAUUGGCGAUGGAUACUGGGAGGCUAGAGUUCGGUAGAGGAUGGCGGAAUUCCCGGUGUAGCGGUUAAAUGCGUAGAGAUCGGGAGGAACAUCUGUGGCGAAGGCGGCCAUCUGGACCAGCACUGACACUGAGGCACGAAAGCGUGGGGAGCAAACAGGAUUAGAUACCCUGGUAGUCC